RNAcentral lists this ribosomal RNA (256 nucleotides) under uncultured prokaryote. RNAcentral's name for it is "partial 16S ribosomal RNA". It matches the Rfam family "Bacterial small subunit ribosomal RNA", at positions 524 to 780 of the family's 1533-position model. The record is from RNAcentral.
UACGUAGGUGGCGAGCGUUGUCCGGAUUUACUGGGCGUAAAGGGCGCGCAGGCGGUAUAUCAAGUCAGCUGUCAAAGACUGGGGCUCAACCCUGGUAUGCGGUUGAAACUGAUAUGCUGGAGUGCUGUAGAGGCAAGUGGAAUUCCCAGUGUAGCGGUGAAAUGCGUAGAUAUUGGGAAGAACACCGGUGGCGAAGGCGACUCGCUGGGCAGCAACUGACGCUGAGGCGCGAAAGCCAGGGGAGCAAACGGGAUUA